RNAcentral lists this long non-coding RNA (2011 nucleotides) under Homo sapiens (human). RNAcentral describes it as "long non-coding RNA NONHSAT160005.1". The record is from RNAcentral. Lineage: Eukaryota; Metazoa; Chordata; Mammalia; Primates; Hominidae.
GGGUGGCAGCAUGGCCUGGGGGUCCUGGCACCGCUGCUCCUCUGCCCACCCUAACUUCCCGGCAUGGCGGCUGCCCCCUCUGAGCGUCCCCAACCCUCACCUGAGCCUCCCCACAAGCCAGGGAGAGGGGCUGCCCAAUGGCGGGAGGCCCCCAUGGAUCCCAAACGGCAGUUGCCCGCACUCCUACCCAGGAACUUUGUCUGUGAUGAACAGUAAGGAAUAAGGAAGCGGAACUGCAGGGGAUAUGAAGCAAGCUGGACUUGGGGAGACAUCUCUGCUCGAGUGCACGUUGGCCUGAUGACGACUGCUCUUGGGUUCACGGGUUCCAGGCUCUGCCCGGGAGCCUCAUGCAAACUGGUCCCGUUCUACAGACGAGGAAACUGAGGCACAGAGUGAUUACGGCUGUCCCUGAGCUCCUGCAGCCAGUAAGUGUCUCUGAGGAUGAACUGCCAUGUGCCCGGCGGGGAUGCCGUCCCUGGCCCUUGCUGAGUGCCUCUGGGACGAGGUCAGCUGAGCCUGCCAUCCUAACUCAGACACCAUCUCACUCUCCAAGUCCCUUCUCGGCCCAGCAAAUUCUCACCUCCAGAGGCCAGGUCUGCCCCGCAGGUCUUAGGAAAUACAGCCCUACUUCCAUCCAGCACACCAACCCAAGGAAGUGCCUCGGAGCCCUGGGGCCCGAGGGGGGCCUGGCCUUGGUCUCACGGCGGCAGCUCCACCUGGAGAGGAGUGAACUCAAGCCAGGACGCCCCGUCUCCACAGCGGAAACCGUGUUGCCGGCUGCUCCCUCCUGGGGACUCUGGGCCUGAGGUUCCUGUGGGAGUUGGGGGGAUAGCUGAGUCCUAUGGAGGUGCCCCUCUCCUCCCCGCCCAGUGGAGCUUGGGGUGGGGACAGGCGAAGACAGGGUGAGAAGCACGGGGCAUUCCCCCUCCACACAGCGCUGAGAAAGUAAGGGAGCAUCCAGAAAACGGUGCCCACUUCCGCGUCAGGCGGAUAUCACGGGCACCAGCUCCAGGUGACCCUAGCCCAGCCAGAGAACAAGGACCAGGUUGUGCCGCAAAGCCCGUGUCCGCUCCCUCCCGCCUGGGACCACUGUGGCGAGGGGAAGGGAGCGUGGUGGCCCUCUCCUGACUCCUGAGGCCUGAAGUCCAAGCUCCCGGCCCUCAGGCAGGCCAGGGUCUAGACACCGCUGCCCCAAACACACCCCCCAGUCCCCGCCCGCAGGCUUCCUGCAGGAUCCCCCAGUGCACCUGGGGGCUGAGGAGAGUGAGCAGGGCGCAAAGAAGCUUCGUCGGGAGGGCGGUCCCCACCCGCCUUGGACCCCCGGGGAUAGUGUCCUGGGGCCUGGGCUCAGAUGCACCCUGGGAGGAAUGGUGCGGAGGCUGUUUUUUGCUCCAAGAGGACAUUGCCUCAGCAGAGGGCUGCCGAGCUGGGAGGACCCACAGUGCAAGGCCGCAGAACCCCCUAGGAAGCCUCAGAGCCUUCAGGUUCCGGGCUGAGGCUGUGGGCGUGGACCCUUGUGCAAACCCCACUGGAAGAAAAACCUUACAGCUCAGGAGGAGGAGGGGCCCCACCCGCUCCCAGAGCCCGUAAACGAGGGGUGGUGCCCACAUGAGGCCUGGGGAAGGGCUGGGGCUGGGACACCCCCUCACCACCCCCAGAUACCCCAGGCAGCCCCUCCCUCCACAGAGAGACCCACUGGGCCUGACCCUGCCCUGGGCACAGGGUCGAGCCAGGGACGGCCCGUGGGAGAAAGACGGCUUCAUGGGCCGCUGGCCGGGCCAGGUGCGUCCUUCCCCAGUUCUAGGUGGCAAAUGGGGUGGGGCCAGAGCCUUCUGGCUAGGGAAGACACUGGCCUGGUUGGUGUGGCAGGGGCAGCGAAGGAGGGUCAAAGGCCACUCUGGCCUGGAAGAGUCCCCAGCCACCUGGACGGGGGUAGCCAGGCCUGGUCCCUGCCCCCACUCUCCAAGGGGUCGGGGCAGCCGGGCAGAGCCAGUAAGUGUUUGUUUUCAGA